AACGAACGCUGGCGGCAUGCCUAACACAUGCAAGUCGAACGAGACCUUCGGGUCUAGUGGCGCACGGGUGCGUAACGCGUGGGAACCUGCCCUUAGGUUCGGAAUAACUCCCCGAAAGGGGUGCUAAUACCGGAUAAUGUCUUCGGACCAAAGAUUUAUCGCCUUUGGAUGGGCCCGCGUUGGAUUAGCUAGUUGGUAGGGUAAAAGCCUACCAAGGCGACGAUCCAUAGCUGGUCUGAGAGGAUGAUCAGCCACACUGGGACUGAGACACGGCCCAGACUCCUACGGGAGGCAGCAGUGGGGAAUAUUGGACAAUGGGCGAAAGCCUGAUCCAGCAAUGCCGCGUGAGUGAUGAAGGCCUUAGGGUUGUAAAGCUCUUUUACCCGGGAUGAUAAUGGCAGUACCGGGAGAAUAAGCACCGGCUAACUCCGUG
This 433-nucleotide ribosomal RNA is filed under the name uncultured bacterium. RNAcentral's name for it is "partial 16S ribosomal RNA". It matches the Rfam family "Bacterial small subunit ribosomal RNA", at positions 29 to 507 of the family's 1533-position model. The record is from RNAcentral.